UGGGAGUAAUUGCAUCAAUGGCAGGCAAGCCAUGACUGCAGCCAUGCCCGCGCCGUAUGAAGAAGGCCAAUUCGGGGCUUUGGUUAAAGAUACUUUUCAGCGAGGAGGAAGGCGUUGUGGUUAAUAACCGCAGCGAUUGACGUUACUCGCAGAAGAAGCACCGGCUAACUCCGUGCCAGCAGCCGCGGUAAUACGGAGGGUGCAAGCGUUAAUCGGAAUUACUGGGCGUAAAGCGCACGCAGGCGGUCUGUCAAGUCGGAUGUGAAAUCCCCGGGCUCAACCUGGGAACUGCAUCCGAAACUGGCAGGCUAGAGUCUUGUAGAGGG
This 326-nucleotide ribosomal RNA is filed under the name uncultured Enterobacteriaceae bacterium. Its description in RNAcentral is "bacterial SSU rRNA". It matches the Rfam family "Bacterial small subunit ribosomal RNA", at positions 355 to 658 of the family's 1533-position model. Lineage: Bacteria; Pseudomonadati; Pseudomonadota; Gammaproteobacteria; Enterobacterales; Enterobacteriaceae. The record is from RNAcentral.